CCGAUGACCGGGACAACCCGAGGAAACUCGGGCUAAUACCGGAUGUGGUGACUGUUCAUGAGGGCAGUCACUAAAGAUAGCUUCGGCCUUCGCAUCGGGACGGGCCCGCGGCCCAUUAGCUUGUUGGUGGGGUAACGGCCUACCAAGGCGACGAUGGGUAGCUGGUCUGAGAGGACGAUCAGCCACACUGGGACUGAGACACGGCCCAGACUCCUACGGGAGGCAGCAGUGGGGAAUCUUGCGCAAUGCGCGAAAGCGUGACGCAGCAACGCCGCGUGGGGGAAGAAGGCCUUCGGGUUGUAAACCCCUUUCAGUUGGGACGAAGCUUCGCGGGUUAAUAGCUCGCUGGAGUGACGGUACCUUCAUAAGAAGCCCCGGCUAACUACGUGCCAGCAGCCGCGGUAAUACGUAGGGGGCAAGCGUUGUCCGGAAUCAUUGGGCGUAAAGCGCGCGUAGGCGGCCCGGUAAGUCCGCUGUGAAAGUCGGGGGCUCAACCCUCGGAUGCCGGUGGAUACUGUCGGGCUUGAGUGCGGAAGAGGCGAGUGGAAUUCCUGGUGUAGCGGUGAAAUGCGCAGAUAUCAGGAGGAACACCAAUUGCGAAGGCAGCUCGCUGGGACGUUAC
RNAcentral lists this ribosomal RNA (622 nucleotides) under Solirubrobacter ginsenosidimutans. RNAcentral describes it as "bacterial SSU rRNA". It matches the Rfam family "Bacterial small subunit ribosomal RNA", at positions 131 to 740 of the family's 1533-position model. The record is from RNAcentral. Lineage: Bacteria; Bacillati; Actinomycetota; Thermoleophilia; Solirubrobacterales; Solirubrobacteraceae.